CCCUUAGAUGUUCUGGGCCGCACACGCGCUACACUGAAGGAGGAAGCGUGUACUCCUGGAUCGAAAGAUUUGGGUAACCCGCGAAUCUCCUUCGUGCUAGGGAUUGAGGUUUGCAAUUAUCCUUCAUGAACGAGGAAUUCCCAGUAAGUGCAAGUCAUAAGCUUGCGCUGACUACGUCCCUGCCCUUUGUACACACCGCCCGUCGCUACUACCGAUUGAAUGAUUUAGUGAGGACUUCGGACUGGGACCGAUGCGGCUUUCGGGCUGCGUCGGUAUUCUGGAAAGAUGUCCAAACUGUAUCAUUUAGAGGAAGUAAAAGUCGUAACA
This 327-nucleotide ribosomal RNA is filed under the name uncultured eukaryote. RNAcentral describes it as "partial 18S ribosomal RNA". It matches the Rfam family "Eukaryotic small subunit ribosomal RNA", at positions 1470 to 1796 of the family's 1831-position model. The record is from RNAcentral.